This 467-nucleotide ribosomal RNA is filed under the name uncultured Enterobacteriaceae bacterium. Its description in RNAcentral is "bacterial SSU rRNA". It matches the Rfam family "Bacterial small subunit ribosomal RNA", at positions 337 to 796 of the family's 1533-position model. The record is from RNAcentral. Lineage: Bacteria; Pseudomonadati; Pseudomonadota; Gammaproteobacteria; Enterobacterales; Enterobacteriaceae.
CCCUACGGGGGGCAGCAGUGGGGAAUAUUGCACAAUGGGCGCAAGCCUGAUGCAGCCAUGCCGCGUGUAUGAAGAAGGCCUUCGGGUUGUAAAGUACUUUCAGCGGGGAGGAAGGUGUUGAGGUUAAUAACCUCAGCAAUUGACGUUACCCGCAGAAGAAGCACCGGCUAACUCCGUGCCAGCAGCCGCGGUAAUACGGAGGGUGCAAGCGUUAAUCGGAAUUACUGGGCGUAAAGCGCACGCAGGCGGUCUGUCAAGUCGGAUGUGAAAUCCCCGGGCUCAACCUGGGAACUGCAUUCGAAACUGGCAGGCUAGAGUCUUGUAGAGGGGGGUAGAAUUCCAGGUGUAGCGGUGGAAUGCGUAGAGAUCUGGAGGAAUACCGGUGGCGAAGGCGGCCCCCUGGACAAAGACUGACGCUCAGGUGCGAAAGCGUGGGGAGCAAACAGGAUUAGAUACCCCAGUAGUCC